AGGAAGCGGGGAUGACGUCAAAUCAGCACGGCCCUUACGUCCAGGGCUACACACGUGCUACAAUGGCCGAUACAGAGGGCAGCUACCUGGUGACAGGAUGCAAAUCUCCAAAGUCGGUCUCAGUUCGGAUCGGAGUCUGCAACCCGACUCCGUGAAGUUGGAUUCGCUAGUAAUCGCGCAUCAGCCAUGGCGCGGUGAAUACGUUCCCGGGCCUU
This 215-nucleotide ribosomal RNA is filed under the name uncultured Sphingobacteriales bacterium. RNAcentral describes it as "partial 16S ribosomal RNA". It matches the Rfam family "Bacterial small subunit ribosomal RNA", at positions 1168 to 1382 of the family's 1533-position model. Lineage: Bacteria; Pseudomonadati; Bacteroidota; Sphingobacteriia; Sphingobacteriales. The record is from RNAcentral.